RNAcentral lists this ribosomal RNA (392 nucleotides) under uncultured bacterium. RNAcentral describes it as "partial 16S ribosomal RNA". It matches the Rfam family "Bacterial small subunit ribosomal RNA", at positions 523 to 918 of the family's 1533-position model. The record is from RNAcentral.
AUACGGAGGACGCGAGCGUUAUCCGGAUUCAUUGGGUUUAAAGGGUGCGCAGGCGGCCAUUUAAGUCAGCGGUUAAAUCGUGGGGCUCAACCCCAUUCUGCCGUUGAUACUGGGUGGCUUGAUUGCGGUCGAGGUUGGCGGAAUUCGUUGUGUAGCGGUGAAAUGCAUAGAUAUGACGAAGAACACCGAUUGCGUAGGCAGCUGACCAGACCGCAAAUGACGCUCAUGCACGAAAGUGCGGGGAUCGAACAGGAUUAGAUACCCUGGUAGUCCGCACAGUAAACGAUGAAUACUUGUUUUCGGCGAUAUAAUGUCGGAGGCAAAGCGAAAGCGAUAAGUAUUCCACCUGGGGAGUACGCCGGCAACGGUGAAACUCAAAUGAAUUGGCGGGG